RNAcentral lists this long non-coding RNA (269 nucleotides) under Daucus carota (carrot). RNAcentral's name for it is "long non-coding RNA (DCAR_LNC005183)". Lineage: Eukaryota; Viridiplantae; Streptophyta; Magnoliopsida; Apiales; Apiaceae. The record is from RNAcentral.
UUGGACUCAAAUCCUACAUCCAAAAGGACCAAAACUUAUCUUAUCCCCUUUACAUUCAUAUGGAAGGAAUUAUUUAUUCAUAAUUGAGUAUGGAACUCGAUUUUUUCGCAAACAGCGAAGAGAUAGUCAAAUAUUGUACGUCAAAUUGCUUUUGCUGCAUUGAUUGUAGCAAGUAGCAACUAGCAACCAUCGUAAACACACACCGAUACAUAGAUGAUAGAACACACAUCCAGGGACAGAUUUAGAGGGGCAGUGCGGUACUUGUCUUC